AACGAACGCUGGCGGCAUGCCUAACACAUGCAAGUCGAACGGGAUCCUAGCUUGCUAGGUGAGAGUGGCGGACGGGUGAGUAACACGUGGGAAUCUGCCUUUUGGUUCGGGAUAACCGCGGAAACUGCGGCUAAUACCGAAUGCCCUCGAGAGAGGAAAGAUUUAUCGCCAGAAGAGGAGCCCGCGUCCGAUUAGGUAGUUGGUGGGUAAAGGCCUACCAAGCCGACGAUCGGUAGCUGGUCUGAGAGGAUGAUCAGCCACACUGGGACUGAGAUACGGCCCAGACUCCUACGGAGGCAGCAGUGGGGAAUAUUGGACAAUGGGGGCAACCCUGAUCAGCAAUGCGC
This 347-nucleotide ribosomal RNA is filed under the name uncultured bacterium. Its description in RNAcentral is "bacterial SSU rRNA". It matches the Rfam family "Bacterial small subunit ribosomal RNA", at positions 29 to 400 of the family's 1533-position model. The record is from RNAcentral.